UACGGAGGGUGCAAGCGUUAUCCGGAUUUACUGGGUUUAAAGGGUGCGUAGGUGGGUCUGUAAGUCAGUGGUGAAAUCUCCGAGCUUAACUCGGAAACUGCCAUUGAUACUAUAGGUCUUGAAUUAUCUGGAGGUGAGCGGAAUAUGUCAUGUAGCGGUGAAAUGCUUAGAUAUGACAUAGAACACCAAUUGCGAAGGCAGCCCGCUACACGGUUAUUGACACUGAGGCACGAAAGCGUGGGGAUCAAACAGG
RNAcentral lists this ribosomal RNA (253 nucleotides) under uncultured bacterium. RNAcentral's name for it is "partial 16S ribosomal RNA". It matches the Rfam family "Bacterial small subunit ribosomal RNA", at positions 524 to 776 of the family's 1533-position model. The record is from RNAcentral.